GAUCCUGGCUCAGGAUAAACGCUGGCGGCGCACAUAAGACAUGCAAGUCGAACGGAAGUCGUUAUAAGAAGGAUUGAAGAUUUAUCUGAUUGAGAUUUUAUAACAAUGGCUUUAGUGGCGGACUGGUGAGUAACGCGUGAGCAACCUGCCUACUAGAGGGGGAUAACAGUGAGAAAUCAUUGCUAAUACCGCAUAUGCCAUGAACAUCACAUGAUGAAAAUGGGAAAAG
This 229-nucleotide ribosomal RNA is filed under the name uncultured bacterium. RNAcentral's name for it is "partial 16S ribosomal RNA". It matches the Rfam family "Bacterial small subunit ribosomal RNA", at positions 15 to 207 of the family's 1533-position model. The record is from RNAcentral.